AAGUCAUGUUGAGGGCAAUGUCGUAACAAUCUCUUGUAACAUUCCUAAGCUUCGUAUAACGACUCCCCUUCUAAUUAUUGAAAGUUAUGGAUAUUUCUCUUAAGCUU
Small nucleolar RNA from Lactuca sativa (garden lettuce), 107 nucleotides. Lineage: Eukaryota; Viridiplantae; Streptophyta; Magnoliopsida; Asterales; Asteraceae. The record is from RefSeq and is a predicted model, not a curated record.